Molecule: ribosomal RNA, 478 nt
Filed under: uncultured bacterium
Lineage: Bacteria
Description: bacterial SSU rRNA
Rfam family: Bacterial small subunit ribosomal RNA
Source: RNAcentral
ACUCCUACGGGAGGCAGCAGUGGGGAAUAUUGCACAAUGGGGGAAACCCUGAUGCAGCCAUGCCGCGUGUGUGAAGAAGGCCUUGGGUUGUAAAGCACUUUCAGUAGGGAGGAAGGUAGUGUAGUUAACACCUGCAUUAUUUGACGUUACCUACAGAAGAAGCACCGGCUAACUCCGUGCCAGCAGCCGCGGUAAGUACGGAGGGUGCGAGCGUUAAUCGGUAAUUACGUGGGCGUAAAGCGCAUGCAGGCGGCCUGUUAAGUCAGAUGUGAAACGCCCGGGGCUUAACCUCGGAAUUGCAUUUGAAACUGGCAGGCUAGAGUCUUGUAGAGGGGUAGUAAUUCGUAGGUGUAGCGGUAGAAAUGCGUAGAGAUCGUGAAGGAAUACCGAGUGGCGAACGGCGGCCCCCGUGGACAAAGACUGACGCUCAGAUGCGAAAGCGUGGGAGCAAACAGGAUUAGAUACCCCGUGGUAGCGA